RNAcentral lists this transfer RNA (69 nucleotides) under Lactoria diaphana (roundbelly cowfish). RNAcentral's name for it is "tRNA-Ala". It matches the Rfam family "tRNA". From Rfam's summary of the family: Transfer RNA (tRNA) molecules are approximately 80 nucleotides in length. Their secondary structure includes four short double-helical elements and three loops (D, anti-codon, and T loops). Lineage: Eukaryota; Metazoa; Chordata; Actinopteri; Tetraodontiformes; Ostraciidae. The record is from RNAcentral.
AAGGCUUUAGCUUAAUUAAAGUACCUGUUUUGCAUACAGGAGAUGUGGGUUAAUGUCCCGCAAGUCUUA